Molecule: non-coding RNA, 31 nt
Filed under: Mus musculus (house mouse)
Lineage: Eukaryota; Metazoa; Chordata; Mammalia; Rodentia; Muridae
Source: RNAcentral
UCCUGAGGUCUGCUACUCACGGAACCCAGUU